CAGGGAGAGGAAACUAAUGAAGACAACAGGGGGAGAUGGAGGAAGCAACCAGAGAUGUUCAAAGACUAGAUCGUGGGUCAGAUGGUAAUGACUCUAACCUAAGGCAGGGAUGAUGGCAGAAAGAUGCCUUCACAGGACAAACUGAGCCUAGUGCUCAACACCCCCACCUGGGGAAAGUGACACCUGCAUGGGAACUUAUCCAUGGGUACCACCAGACCCAAAGGACCUCUAUCUUCAAGUAAACCCUACGCUCCCCAAGCAGACAGUGUCAUUUCAGUGAAUGUCCUAACAGCAAAACAAAUUUCUUCUCCGGGGAAUGGUCUUCAAAAAUUAUUGCCCAGACAGUGAAUAAUUCUUCUCUAGUCAGUGGCUAACAGGGAAAUUAUCUAUGUGCCUCUGGACUUGUUCUUGUAUCACAGUGAAUAAACUGGUCCAACCCAAACUGACACAUCCACAAACUCCCUUUGUGAUCCUAGGUAAGAUUUUAGAUGGCAUUUGUCAAU
This 503-nucleotide long non-coding RNA is filed under the name Pan troglodytes (chimpanzee). RNAcentral describes it as "long non-coding RNA NONPTRT016903". The record is from RNAcentral. Lineage: Eukaryota; Metazoa; Chordata; Mammalia; Primates; Hominidae.